Molecule: ribosomal RNA, 117 nt
Filed under: Hyalomonas oviformis
Lineage: Eukaryota; Viridiplantae; Chlorophyta; Chlorophyceae; Chlamydomonadales; Chlamydomonadaceae
Source: RNAcentral
UUGGUGCUCAAAGCUCAGUUGGAACCACACCAAUCCAUCCCGAACUUGGUGGUGAAAAAGCUGAGGGGGCUUAGUUACUCGAUGGGGUGCUGUCCGGAAUCUAAGUUUUAGUGCCAG